Molecule: long non-coding RNA, 376 nt
Organism: Saccostrea echinata
Lineage: Eukaryota; Metazoa; Mollusca; Bivalvia; Ostreida; Ostreidae
Exons: 3
Source: RefSeq, a predicted model, not a curated record
GCAGGGGAAACGUUCAGUCUGCCUGGGUUAUAUAUAGGUAGAUUCAUUGAUUUCGGAUCAGAAAAUUAUCAAUGUUCAUGGAUUCCCAGAACACAGCAGGGAGAAGUUUAUGUUAUGAACAUUUCUUAGCAACAAACCCUGUAAGAAGAAGGACGUCUGUUCUACAGCUUGUGGUGGAUUAUAGAACACAUGAUAUCAACCAAGUUUAAAGGAAGCAUGUAUAGCCACAUUAGAAAGAUUUAAGGAUUGUGAGAAACCAAAUAUGACAAAUCAGAAUAAAUUCCAUGGGAGUGUGAAAAAAAAGAAUAGUAGAGUGUAAUCCUCAGGACUUUCUUCAGACUUCCAUAAAGUCAGGAAAUACUGUUGAACUGACAAA